GGCGGCGCCGCGGCCGCGCAGCCUUUGUCUCGGGCCGCCCGGCGCGCGGGGCCCAGCGCAGGCAGGCCACGCGGGGACGGAGGAGGCAGAGAGGACGGGCAGUGAUGGAGAAACGGGAGAGGAGCCGGCCAAGCGCCACCGUCACCACCAUCACCAACCACCACUACCAUCACCAUCACUGACUGUCGCCCAUCCCAGCUCCCCUGCCUCACCUCCCAUCUCAUAUCCCUGUGCAGUGCCAACUUUAUCAGAUCAUCUCCUUUUCACUGGGUGCUACUUUGGAAAAGCGACAGAGUGCGCCAAGUCAGGAAUAAGUACAUCCGCUGUGGGACGUUUAUCUUCCCCUUUCCAUGUAGCUACCUCAAUUUUCCCGUCAGGAAAGGGGGCACAGUGGCAUUUCCUUCCUCUCAAUCACACUGAGAUGGCUGGGUAGCCUCCAGUUUUUCCAGUCCUGGUACUGGGCGGUUUUAUAUGCUUGGUGAUGAUGAUGAUAAAGUAAUGUCUUCAUUAAAUUGGACAGUUGGGAGUUUUCAAA
Non-coding RNA from Macaca mulatta (Rhesus monkey), 535 nucleotides. Lineage: Eukaryota; Metazoa; Chordata; Mammalia; Primates; Cercopithecidae. The record is from RefSeq and is a predicted model, not a curated record.